RNAcentral lists this long non-coding RNA (1655 nucleotides) under Cucumis sativus (cucumber). RNAcentral's name for it is "long non-coding RNA (CSAT_LNC002233)". Lineage: Eukaryota; Viridiplantae; Streptophyta; Magnoliopsida; Cucurbitales; Cucurbitaceae. The record is from RNAcentral.
UAAAAUAUAGCAAAAUUUAUCAAAACUCUAUAUACCUCUUCAAAAUGUACCCAUAUUAGUGAACUUUCGAAAAACACAUGAGGUAACAUUACAACUCAAAUUUCAUCACUCUAUGGUCGAAUCGUCCACCAUGUAAGGAUGGUCCGACAUUAUGAUAUGUUUUGAUAUACUUGUACUAGAUAGUAUCAUUUGCCUAGGAGAAUGGCAUGUUUCCCUUCAAUAACCCGAACACCUUCUCGACCUCGUUUCUUGAGGAAGAAUGUUUCAAUAUUAAAAUAAAUAGAUCUCACAUGUAGAGUACGUUCUGAUGAUAUUGUUCCACACUAUGCAAAGCUAAGAAACCCUCCAUAUUAAGGUACCCUGCAUCACAGAGAUAAUAUUACCAUAUCAUAUCAAACAUUCAACCAUUUCAAAUAUUGCUACCUUUAGAUGCCAUAUUUUGUAAAUAAUAAUAAAAAAGGAUUUAUUCAAUCAAUCUAUUCAAUCAGAUGUAUAGUAUAAUGCCAUAUUCCUCCAAUAAUCUACUCGACAUUGGUUAUUGGAAUUCUAGAACUGAGAAAUCCAUGCUAUCGCCCGCUCUCUGGGUCUAAUCCAACCCUGUAAACAGAGUCCUCUCUUUAAAACCAAUUCAAAGCCUUUAAGAACUAUUCGAAGUAUCCAAAAUAAAGGUUUAAUUUCCAGUACUGCCACUACUAUAAUCACAGUCACCCACAUAGAGGAGUUAUCAUAAGUCUCACCUGUCCUCCAGGAUCUCUUGAAACCGGUUGUACUCUCAAUGACAUCGCUGGCUCAGGGACUGAUAACCCAAACAGUUCAGAAUAUCAUAAAAGGCUCAAAUAGGAAACAAUUCAACAUCUCUUGUCCCCAUUCACAUGAUGUAAAUUGGAACUUGCACAGCAGCACUAUGAUGCCGGAGCUUAGAACUUCCCUUCAAGACAAACCAAACCAAUCUAAAUCAGUUUAAAAAUUAGUAUAUGCAACUAAUAAUCAACCACAACUAUAUCAUAUAAACAUAAUGGCCAAUCCAUACAAACAAAUAUCAGUAUCCAGAUCGAUACAAAUUUGCCAAGCAUUUUGCUUUUUCUUGGGGGUCAACAGAUUGCAUUCCGUAUAAACAGUACAGUUUGAGUUGAGAAUCAAGUAUCAAGAAAUCGUUUGAAAAUUUCAUCUACAUGUGCAUGAUAAAUAUAAGACCAUAACACUCCACCGGAUUAACUUCUUCAUUAACAAGGAAUUUAAAUAUUCACUUGCAACUUUCCCGUAAGAACAAAUAUGAAAAUCAACCAUCAAAAUAGAAGCAGUCAAAAUUAAUAGUUAGAAACGAUAACAGUUGAAUAACAAAUAAGAUAAUUUUUUGUGAAUGAAAGGAGAACACAGGUCACUCAACAACAUAAGGGAACCGGACCCGCAAGAAUAUAUUGCCAUUCAGCUGCCUCCAACUUCAUGAUCUUCUCCUCAGAAUCCUAACUUGGUAUGAAGCUAGGGAUCUAUAUGAUUCGACUAGCUAAAGCAGGCACCAAAUGCUAUGAAGAAGUUCAACUCAUUUCUCACUGCUUUAUUUUGGAUAAAUGGUUCCGACUAUAGUACAAUCAUGCAGAUUCUGAAAAUUUGUAAUUCGUACAAACCAGAUUGAACUCUCAACCUUGUUCCUUCCU